This 638-nucleotide ribosomal RNA is filed under the name Scopalina lophyropoda. RNAcentral's name for it is "eukaryotic LSU rRNA". The stretch from base 444 to 638 matches the Rfam family "Eukaryotic large subunit ribosomal RNA", at positions 665 to 841 of the family's 3401-position model. The record is from RNAcentral. Lineage: Eukaryota; Metazoa; Porifera; Demospongiae; Bubarida; Dictyonellidae.
CCGUUAGGAGGGAAGCGAAUGCAGCCAGUGCGAGUCCCGUCAGGUUCAGGAGCAGCGGAGAGCGUCGCUCUGGGGUGGCCUAGAUGGCGCCCGAGGGUAGUCGCGCGGCCGCGCAUCUGCACUCCUGCGGGGCUCUUGCCAACGGCAGUGGUCGGUGCCCGAGAGCCGUCGGGGAGGUGCCCUACCCCUCUUCGGAGGCGGGAGGAACUUAUAACCCUUCGGCGACGGGCAUCUGGCGACUGAGGAGACGAUCGCUACUGAUCUGACGACGCAGGCUCCCCCCUUCGCGGGGGGCGGGCUGGCCCCCUUCUCGGACGUCCGGUCUCGCGACCCAGGACUGCGUGCAGUGCUGGGACGCGUGCGCCUUCGACCGGGCGGGAUGGGUGCAACUGCGUCCGGCGGUUGGCAAAACGUGGCUCCAUCCGUCCCGUCUUGAAACACGGACCAAGGAGUGCAACACGCCCGCGAGUCUUUGGGUGGCAAACCCGCCGGCGAAAUGAAAGUGAAGGCGUCCCCGUGGCGCCGAGGCGAGAGCCGCGUGACUGCGGUGCAUCGUCGACCGAUCCUAUCCACGCCGUGGGGGGAUUCGAGUUAGAGCGUGCCUGUUGCGACCCGAAAGAUGGUGAACUAUGCCUGAA